This 460-nucleotide ribosomal RNA is filed under the name uncultured bacterium. RNAcentral's name for it is "partial 16S ribosomal RNA". It matches the Rfam family "Bacterial small subunit ribosomal RNA", at positions 338 to 795 of the family's 1533-position model. The record is from RNAcentral.
CCUACGGGUGGCAGCAGUGAGGAAUAUUGGUCAAUGGACGAGAGUCUGAACCAGCCAAGUAGCGUGAAGGAUGACUGCCCUAUGGGUUGUAAACUUCUUUUAUAUGGGAAUAAAAUGUUCCACGUGUGGGAUUUUGUAUGUACCAUAUGAAUAAGGAUCGGCUAACUCCGUGCCAGCAGCCGCGGUAAUACGGAGGAUCCGAGCGUUAUCCGGAUUUAUUGGGUUUAAAGGGAGCGUAGGUGGAUUGUUAAGUCAGUUGUGAAAGUUUGCGGCUCAACCGUAAAAUUGCAGUUGAAACUGGCAGUCUUGAGUACAGUAGAGGUGGGCGGAAUUCGUGGAGUAGCGGUGAAAUGCUUAGAUAUCACGAAGAACUCCGAUUGCGAAGGCAGUUCACUGGACUGCAACUGACACUGAGGCUCGAAAGUGUGGGUAUCAAACAGGAUUAGAUACCCGUGUAGUC